This 1777-nucleotide long non-coding RNA is filed under the name Lathyrus oleraceus (garden pea). RNAcentral describes it as "Pisum sativum (pea) long non-coding RNA (PSAT_LNC034438)". Lineage: Eukaryota; Viridiplantae; Streptophyta; Magnoliopsida; Fabales; Fabaceae. The record is from RNAcentral.
AGGAGAGUAUAGAGAUGUAGAGGCUUAGCUCAGUUGAAGCAAAACUUCAAUGUGAAGUUUUGCUCAACAAUGGAGGAUAUUGAGAUUUGAGUGUGUUGGUGAGAUAAGAGGAGAAAGUGAAACUGUAGAGUGAUGAUGAUAUGAGAGUGAAUGUGACUGUUUUCCUUGAUUGAAGAUGAAUUGUUGUUUAUAUAGUGGGAUUCGAAAUUGAAAUGGAGGGAAGUUCAUAACUAUUUUGGUCAGUUGUUAAAUUCAGUUAAUGUUAGCUUGCAAGUUAGUUAGGGUUAGCUAACAAUGUUAGUUGAUGUUAAUUGAGUUAGUUGUUUUUGAAUUAGUCAGUUUGGAAGUUAAGCUCGAGUUAGUUUAUGUGUUAGACUUCAACUGAACUGUUAGAUGGUGUUAGGAAAAAUCAGUUAGGUUAAUGUUCAUCAGAAGUUAGUAUUUUGAAUUGUUAAUGAAAAUUAGGUGGUUAGUUAAUGGUUUGAACAAUUUUGUUAGUUUUGGGAUUGGUUAGUUUAGUUAGUUGAUCAAUUAAUGACUAGUUGAUGUUUAAAUAUGUUGGUUAGAUCAUUGGAAUUAUUAUGUUAGUUGGUUAGAAUGUUGAACUGUGAUAUUGAUCAAGUCAGUUUAGAGAAAAUGUUAGUUAUUAAUGUUAAUGUUAGCAGGCUGCUAGUGAAUUACAAUUGGAUAUUUGAACUGCUAUGUCAUGAAAACUUGUUAAUCAGGUUAUUGUAAUUAGCUUGACUGUUAGUGAUAUGCAAUGGAAAGAGUUAGGGUUAUGUUAAUUUCCAUUUGAUAGUUAGAAAAAAGUUAGGUUAGUUAUGUUGAACUGUUAGUGACAAUUAGUGAAUUAGUUUAGAAAAAUGUUAGUGGAUUUUGAAAUCAGUUAGUGAGUCAAUGUGGCAUUAGUUAAUUGUGUUGAUUGAAUUAGUAGGAGUUAGUUAUGUUAGUUGAACUGAACUGUUGGAUUUUAACUUGACAAAACUAUUAGGUUAAAACUAUUAGGAUAUCACUUGUUGAUUGAUUAGUAUCAGAAGUUAGAGGAUUUGGCCAUUAAUUGAAUGAUUAGCUAGCUGAAUUGGUUAAUGUUAAUCAUCUAAAAGAGCUACUUACAAUUAUAUGAUAAAAUUGGUGAGUAAUGUUGUGUUAGAUAUGGAUAUGAUAAGGUCAAAACUUUGAUGUAUGCCAUUGGACUUGUUUGGAUGUAUGAAUAUUGUAUGGUUGGUUAUACAUUGAUGUGUAUAUUGAUAAUGUGUAUGAGAAAUGGUGAUUGGACUGUCAUGGUGUGUUUAUUGAAUUGUAUUAUGGCAUGGCGUGUUUGAUUGUGUAUAUGGCAUGUAUGGCUAUGGAGUAUCAUUGAAUGCAACUGAUGUUUGUUUACACAUUGCAAGGUUUUGGAUUUGGUGUAGCAUGGUGAAAAAAGAGAAUUCAUGGCAUGGCAAUGAAGAUUUUGGUACAAGUUUUGAACAUGAAGAUAGCAUGGAGGUGUAUCAUGAUAGGAAAUGAAGAAAGCUUGGAGAUCAAAGUGGUAAUAGGUCUAGGGUUAAGUUUACUUUGGUCAUUUGUUUGACCAAAAAGUCAACAGUUGACCAAAAGUCAACCUUAGGUCAAAAUGUGAUUUUUUUGUAUAAUUUAUAUUUUGGCUUUUUAUAAUGAAAUUUGAUGUUGUAAUUGAAUAUUGGCCCUUUGAAUGUGAUUUGUAACUUCUCUCACAGGCUAUGCACUUCCCCUCUAAUUGAUAAAUUUUGAAAUUUGCAAUCCUUGAAUCUUAUUCUCA